UUUCCAGAGGACAGAUUUGACUGAUUGCAACCUCUGAUCCGGAAUUGAGCCGGACCACCAAAAAUGCUAAAGCAGUUUGC
RNAcentral lists this non-coding RNA (80 nucleotides) under Robiginitalea biformata HTCC2501. The record is from RNAcentral. Lineage: Bacteria; Pseudomonadati; Bacteroidota; Flavobacteriia; Flavobacteriales; Flavobacteriaceae.